This 254-nucleotide ribosomal RNA is filed under the name uncultured bacterium. Its description in RNAcentral is "partial 16S ribosomal RNA". It matches the Rfam family "Bacterial small subunit ribosomal RNA", at positions 524 to 777 of the family's 1533-position model. The record is from RNAcentral.
UACGAAGGGGGCUAGCGUUGCUCGGAAUUACUGGGCGUAAAGCGCACGUAGGCGGCUUUCUAAGUCGGGGGUGAAAUCCUGGAGCUCAACUCCAGAACUGCCUUCGAUACUGGAAAGCUCGAGUCCGGGAGAGGUGAGUGGAACUGCGAGUGUAGAGGUGAAAUUCGUAGAUAUUCGCAAGAACACCAGUGGCGAAGGCGGCUCACUGGCCCGGUACUGACGCUGAGGUGCGAAAGCGUGGGGAUCAAACAGGG